AGAGUUUGAUCCUGGCUCAGGAUGAACGCUGGCGGCGUGCUUAACACAUGCAAGUCGAACGGGAAUGUCGCGCUGACGAGACUUCGGUCAAAUCUUGUGGCAUUCUAGUGGCGGACGGGUGAGUAACGCGUGGGUAACCUGCCAUAUACAGGGGGAUAACACUUAGAAAUAGGUGCUAAUACCGCAUAAGCGCACGGAGUCGCAUGACUUUGUGUGAAAAACUGAGGUGGUAUAUGAUGGACCCGCGUCUGAUUAGCUUGUUGGUGAGGUAACGGCCCACCAAGGCGACGAUCAGUAGCCGGCCUGAGAGGGUGGACGGCCACAUUGGGACUGAGACACGGCCCAAACUCCUACGGGAGGCAGCAGUGGGGGAUAUUGGACAAUGGGGGGAACCCUGAUCCAGCGACGCCGCGUGAGUGAAGAAGUAUUUCGGUAUGUAAAGCUCUGUCAGCAGGGAAGAAAGAAAUGACGGUACCUGACCAAGAAGCCCCGGCUAACUACGUGCCAGCAGCCGCGGU
Molecule: ribosomal RNA, 518 nt
Filed under: uncultured Gram-positive bacterium
Lineage: Bacteria
Description: bacterial SSU rRNA
Rfam family: Bacterial small subunit ribosomal RNA
Source: RNAcentral